Long non-coding RNA from Penaeus vannamei (Pacific white shrimp), 646 nucleotides. RefSeq lists it as uncharacterized. The record is from RefSeq and is a predicted model, not a curated record. Lineage: Eukaryota; Metazoa; Arthropoda; Malacostraca; Decapoda; Penaeidae.
AGUAAGAAAGGAUAAAGAUGGAGAGACACAGGGAUGCAAGAUAGUUGUGUCUCUGAGGGCGACCUGUCAACAUUUGGAAGAUGAAUUUCCGGCUCGUCAUAGUCGCCAUUGUGCUGGCAGCGAUGAUGACGAAUUUGGUCCUGUCGACGCCGCUCUUCGGCUUCCGCACCAGAGAUGAUAAUUACUGGGCAAGGAGACGAUCUCCGUGGCGACCCCAUCAAGACGACCGCUACUGGAACGGCUACGACAUCUACGGCUACACCAGGAAUGGAUAAGGCUGUGACAGUGCAGAGCAAAGCCACGACAACUUGAUUUAAGAUCAGGCGAACCGACAUCUAUAUACCAGUGUAGAUGAUUUGCUGGAAAUAACUCACAUAUUAAUUACAAAAGACAAUGUGAUCACCAAAGGACCAGGAUUAUAACUAUAUACUAAUUUGGUAUAUUUAAUGUCUAAAGUCAUGAUACUAGACUCAAUAAACAUUAUAUUGAAAUGUCUAUCAACCAUAAGUACAAAAUCUACUUGUGUUAUUUAUUUAUUUAUUUUUUUUUUUAUAAUUUGAUACUCAUUCCUCACUAUUAUUAUAUAUGUGAGAUGUGUUAAGAUUUUGAUGUUUCGUUAUUUCGUGUGUUUAGGAGUAAUAAAGUG